AAAAUAAUCCUACCCUUUGUGAAUUUUGUUUGUUUGAAUAAUUUUUUUUUUUAAAAAAAUUAUUGGAGUCUUUCCCUUUAGAGUUUGCUUUUGAGUUUGUAAAAGAAUUCGAAAACAUCUAAAGGGGAUGGUCAAUAAUUUUUUUGAAAAAAGACAUUUUUUAAAAUUAAACUUUUUGUAUUCAUUUGUCUAAAAAUUAUUUUUAUAAUAUAAAAACAACUUUUGACAAUGGAUCUCUUGGUUCUCGCAACGAUGAAGAACGCAGCAAAAUGCGAUAAGUAGUGUGAAUUGCAGAAUACGUGAAUCAUCGAAUCUUUGAACGCAUAUUGCACUUUUUUAGUUUACUAAAAAAGUAUGUCUGUUUGAGUAUCAGUAAAAUAUUCUCAUAAAAAUCAUUGUGUAUUUUUAUGGUUAUGAGUGUUUUACAACGAUACAAGUUGUUUCACUUUAAAUUUUUUUUUAAUAUUGAAAUUUUUCUAAUUUUAAUAAUUAAAAUUGGAUAAAAUUUUCCCGUCAAAAGGAAUAACCUAAACAAUUUUAAAUGAUUAAUUUUAGCAAAAUUUUCGAAAAAAAGGAAAUUUUUAUUAAAAUAACUUGAUCUCAAAUCAGAUAAGAGUACCCGCUGAACUUAAGCAUAUCAAUAAGCGGAGGAAAAGAAACUAACAAGGAUUCCCUUAGUAACGGCGAGUGAAGCGGGAAGAGCUCAAAUUUGAAAUCUUCAAGGUUUUACCUUGACGAAUUGUAGUUUAAAGAAGUGUUUUCUGCUGAAGUUUUGGUAAAAGUUCUUUGGAAUAGGACAUCAUAGAGGGUGAGAAUCCCGUAUUUGACCAUUAUUUUCAGCUUUGUGAUACACUUUCAAAGAGUCGGAUUGUUUGGGAAUGCAGUCCAAAAUGGGUGGUAAAUUUCAUCUAAAGUUAAAUAUUGGCGAGAGACCGAUAGCGAACAAGUACCGUGAGGGAAAGAUGAAUAGAACUUUGAAAAGAGAGUUAAACAGUACGUGAAAUUGUCAAAAGGGAAGCGUUUGACACCAGUGUUGUUUUCUCGAAAAUCAAUUAAAAAUGGCUCGAUUUUGUAUUGCUGAGACCUUAAAGCUCACUGUACAUUUUUCGUGUCUUUUUUAAUGCACUUUUCGUUUAACAAGUCAACAUCAGUUUCUUUUGUUGUAAAAGGGUCAUUGGAAGGUGGCUUUCUUUUCGGAGAAAGUGUUUAUAGCCUUUGGCCUCUGCAAUCGAAGAGACUGAGGUCUGCAGCGUAGACUCUUCGGGGUUAGAUACAUUUGUGCUAAGUUAUAGCUUUUUAUAGACGACUUGUUGACUAUAAUUAGUCUUGUAGCUUACUCGCUUAUGCUAUUUUACCUACGCUUAGGAUG
Molecule: unclassified non-coding RNA, 1369 nt
Filed under: uncultured Neocallimastigales
Lineage: Eukaryota; Fungi; Neocallimastigomycota; Neocallimastigomycetes; Neocallimastigales
Description: partial contains internal transcribed spacer 1, 5.8S ribosomal RNA, internal transcribed spacer 2, and large subunit ribosomal RNA
Rfam family: Eukaryotic large subunit ribosomal RNA (bases 596-1369)
Source: RNAcentral